Molecule: ribosomal RNA, 465 nt
Filed under: uncultured bacterium
Lineage: Bacteria
Description: partial 16S ribosomal RNA
Rfam family: Bacterial small subunit ribosomal RNA
Source: RNAcentral
CUACGGGUGGCUCCAGUGGGGAAUAUUGGACAAUGGGGGGAACCCUGAUCCAGCAAUGCCGCGUGUGUGAAGAAGGCCUGCGGGUUGUAAAGCACUUUCGGUUGGGAGGACUGCUUCUAGCACUAAUAUUGUUGGAAGUUGACGUUACCUUCAGAAGAAGCACCGGCUAACUCCGUGCCAGCAGCCGCGGUAAUACGGAGGGUGCAAGCGUUAAUCGGAAUUACUGGGCGUAAAGCGCGCGUAGGCGGCUAGAUCAGUCGGGUGUGAAAGCCCCGGGCUUAACCUGGGAACUGCAUCCGAUACUGUCUAGCUCGAGUACAGGAGAGGAGAGUGGAAUUCCACAUGUAGCGGUGAAAUGCGUAGAUAUGUGGAGGAACACCAAUGGCGAAGGCAGCUCUCUGGCCUGAUACUGACGCUGAGGUGCGAAAGCGUGGGGAGCAAACAGGGUUAGAUACCCCAGUAGUC